GCCUACGGGAGGCAGCAGUAGGGAAUCUUCCACAAUGGGCGAAAGCCUGAUGGAGCAACGCCGCGUGGGUGAAGAAGGUCUUCGGAUCGUAAAACCCUGUUGUUAGAGAAGAAAGUGCGUGAGAGUAACUGUUCACGUUUCGACGGUAUCUAACCAGAAAGCCACGGCUAACUACGUGCCAGCAGCCGCGGUAAUACGUAGGUGGCAAGCGUUAUCCAGAUUUAUUGGGCGUAAAGGGAACGCAGGCGGUCUUUUAAGUCUGAUGUGAAAGCAUUCGGCUUAACCGGAGUAGUGCAUUGGAAACU
This 305-nucleotide ribosomal RNA is filed under the name uncultured bacterium. RNAcentral describes it as "bacterial SSU rRNA". It matches the Rfam family "Bacterial small subunit ribosomal RNA", at positions 337 to 634 of the family's 1533-position model. The record is from RNAcentral.